Molecule: ribosomal RNA, 397 nt
Filed under: uncultured bacterium
Lineage: Bacteria
Description: partial 16S ribosomal RNA
Rfam family: Bacterial small subunit ribosomal RNA
Source: RNAcentral
AUACGUAGGGGGCGAGCGUUGUCCGGAAUGAUUGGGCGUAAAGGGCGCGUAGGCGGCCCGGUAAGUCUGGAGUGAAAGUCCUGUUUUUAAGAUGGGAAUUGCUUUGGAUACUGUCGGGCUUGAGUGCAGGAGAGGUAAGUGGAAUUCCCAGUGUAGCGGUGAAAUGCGUAGAGAUUGGGAGGAACACCAGUGGCGAAGGCGACUUACUGGACUGUAACUGACGCUGAGGCGCGAAAGUGUGGGGAGCAAACAGGAUUAGAUACCCUGGUAGUCCACACUGUAAACGAUGAAUGCUAGGUGUAGGGGGUAUCGACUCCCUCUGUGCCGCAGUUAACACAAUAAGUAUUCCGCCUGGGGAGUACGGCCGCAAGGUUGAAACUCAAAUGAAUUGACGGGG